AUACGGAAGGUCCGGGCGUUAUCCGGAUUUAUUGGGUUUAAAGGGAGCGCAGGCGGAGAUGCAAGCGUGACGUCAAAUUUCGGGGCUCAACCCCGUCUCGCGUCGCGAACUGCGUCCCUUGGUUGCGGGAAGGGGAGGCGGAACUCGUGGUGUAGCGGUGAAAUGCAUAGAUAUCACGAAGAACUCCGAUCGCGAAGGCAGCCUUCCGGCCCGUCAACGACGCUCAUGCUCGAAGGUGCGGGUAUCAAACAGGAGUAGAUACCCUGGUAGUCCGCACAGUAAACGAUGGACACCCGCGGUUUGGCCUGUAUGGCUGAGCCGCCAAGCGAAAGCGUUAAGUGUCCCACCUGGGGAGUACGCCGGCAACGGUGAAACUCAAAUGAAUUGGCGGGG
Molecule: ribosomal RNA, 393 nt
Filed under: uncultured bacterium
Lineage: Bacteria
Description: partial 16S ribosomal RNA
Rfam family: Bacterial small subunit ribosomal RNA
Source: RNAcentral